RNAcentral lists this ribosomal RNA (760 nucleotides) under Prevotella melaninogenica. Its description in RNAcentral is "bacterial SSU rRNA". It matches the Rfam family "Bacterial small subunit ribosomal RNA", at positions 28 to 776 of the family's 1533-position model. Lineage: Bacteria; Pseudomonadati; Bacteroidota; Bacteroidia; Bacteroidales; Prevotellaceae. The record is from RNAcentral.
GAUGAACGCUAGCUACAGGCUUAACACAUGCAAGUCGAGGGGAAACGGCAUUGAGUGCUUGCACUCUUUGGACGUCGACCGGCGCACGGGUGAGUAACGCGUAUCCAACCUUCCCAUUACUGUGGAAUAACCUGCCGAAAGGCAGACUAAUACCGCAUAGUCUUCGAUGACGGCAUCAGAUUUGAAGUAAAGAUUUAUCGGUAAUGGAUGGGGAUGCGUCUGAUUAGCUUGUUGGCGGGGUAACGGCCCACCAAGGCGACGAUCAGUAGGGGUUCUGAGAGGAAGGUCCCCCACAUUGGAACUGAGACACGGUCCAAACUCCUACGGGAGGCAGCAGUGAGGAAUAUUGGUCAAUGGACGGAAGUCUGAACCAGCCAAGUAGCGUGCAGGAUGACGGCCCUAUGGGUUGUAAACUGCUUUUGUAUGGGGAUAAAGUUAGGGACGUGUCCCUAUUUGCAGGUACCAUACGAAUAAGGACCGGCUAAUUCCGUGCCAGCAGCCGCGGUAAUACGGAAGGUCCAGGCGUUAUCCGGAUUUAUUGGGUUUAAAGGGAGCGUAGGCUGGAUAUUAAGUGUGUUGUGAAAUGUAGACGCUCAACGUCUGACUUGCAGCGCAUACUGGUUUCCUUGAGUACGCACAACGUUGGCGGAAUUCGUCGUGUAGCGGUGAAAUGCUUAGAUAUGACGAAGAACUCCGAUUGCGAAGGCAGCUGACGGGAGCGCAACUGACGCUAAAGCUCGAAGUGCGGGUAUCAAACAAG